RNAcentral lists this ribosomal RNA (459 nucleotides) under uncultured bacterium. RNAcentral's name for it is "partial 16S ribosomal RNA". It matches the Rfam family "Bacterial small subunit ribosomal RNA", at positions 338 to 795 of the family's 1533-position model. The record is from RNAcentral.
CCUACGGGAGGCAGCAGUGAGGAAUAUUGGUCAAUGGGCGCGAGCCUGAACCAGCCACGUCGCGUGAGGGAAGACGGUCCUAUGGAUUGUAAACCUCUUUUGUCGGGGAGCAAAAGACCCCACGCGUGGCGUUCCGAGAGUACCCGAAGAAAAAGCAUCGGCUAACUCCGUGCCAGCAGACGCGGUAAUACGGAGGAUGCGAGCGUUAUCCGGAUUUAUUGGGUUUAAAGGGUGCGCAGGCGGAAUAUCAAGUCAGCGGUAAAAUUGAGGGGCUCAACCUCGGCGAGCCGUUGAAACUGGUUAACUUGAGUGAGUGAGAAGUAAGCGGAAUGCGUGGUGUAGCGGUGAAAUGCAUAGAUAUCACGCAGAACUCCGAUGGCGAAGGCAGCAUACCGGCGCUAAACUGACGCUGAUGCACGAAAGUGUGGGUAGCGAACAGGAUUAGAUACCCGAGUAGUC